GCAUAUCAAUAAGCGGAGGAAAAGAAACCAACAGGGAUUGCCCUAGUAACGGCGAGUGAAGCGGCAACAGCUCAAAUUUGAAAUCUGGCCUUCCGGUCCGAAUUGUAAUUUGCAGAGGAUGCUUUUGGCGCGGUGCCUUCCGAGUUCCCUGGAACGGGACGCCUUAGAGGGUGAGAGCCCCGUACGGUUGGACACCAAGCCUCUGUAAAGCUCCUUCGACGAGUCGAGUAGUUUGGGAAUGCUGCUCUAAAUGGGAGGUAAAUUUCUUCUAAAGCUAAAUACCGGCCAGAGACCGAUAGCGCACAAGUAGAGUGAUCGAAAGAUGAAAAGCACUUUGAAAAGAGGGUUAAAUAGCACGUGAAAUUGUUGAAAGGGAAGCGUUUACGGCCAGACCUUUUCCUGGCGGAUCAUCUGGUGUUCUCACCAGUGCACUUCGUUAGGUUUAGGCCAGCAUCGGCUUCUGCAGGGGGAUAAAAGCAGUGGGAAAGUAGCUCUCUUGGGAGUGUUAUAGCCCUAAGCAUAAUACCCUUGCGGGGGCCGAGGACCGCGCUUUUGCAAGGAUGCUGGCGUAAUGGUCGUCAACGACCCGUCUUGAAACACGGACCAAGGAGUCGAACAUUUGUGCGAGUGUUUGGGUGUUAAACCCUCACGCGUAAUGAAAGUGAACGGAGGUGAGAGCCCUUUAGGGUGCAUCAUCGACCGAUCCUGAUGUCUUCGGAUGGAUUUGAGUAAGAGCAUAACUGUUCGGACCCGAAAGAUGGUGAACUAUGCGUGGAUAGGGUGAAGCCAGAGGAAACUCUGGUGGAGGCUCGCAGCGGUUCUGACGUGCAAAUCGAUCGUCAAAUCUGCGCAUGGGGCGAAAGACUUAUCGAACCAUCUAGUAGCUGGUUACCGCCGAAGU
Molecule: ribosomal RNA, 901 nt
Filed under: Camillea punctulata
Lineage: Eukaryota; Fungi; Ascomycota; Sordariomycetes; Xylariales; Graphostromataceae
Description: Hypoxylon punctulatum LSU rRNA
Rfam family: Eukaryotic large subunit ribosomal RNA
Source: RNAcentral